AUGGCAAUGGCCGUGGCGUCGUCGACCAUGGAGGUCGAUCAGGACCUCCCCGGCUUCCGCUUCCACCCCACGGAGGAGGAGCUCCUCGGCUUCUACCUCUCCCGCGUCGCCCUCGGCAAGAAGCUCCACUUCGACAUCAUCGGCACCCUCAACAUCUACCGCCACGAUCCCUGGGAUCUUCCUGGGAUGGCAAAGAUCGGGGAGAGGGAGUGGUACUUCUUCGUGCCGCGUGACCGGAAGGCGGGGAGCGGCGGGCGGCCGAACCGGACGACGGAGCGGGGGUUCUGGAAGGCGACGGGGUCGGACAGGGCCAUCCGGAGCACCGGCGACCACAAACGGGUCAUCGGUCUCAAGAAGACGCUCGUCUUCUACCAGGGGCGCGCGCCGCGCGGCACCAAGACGGACUGGGUCAUGAACGAGUACCGCCUCCCCGACUCCGGCGCGGCGCCACCCCAGGAGGACACGGUGCUAUGCAAGGUGUACCGGAAGGCCACGCCGCUCAAGGAGCUCGAGCAAAGAGCCUUCGAGAUGGAGGAGAUGAAGCAGAGGUCCGGCAGCAACGGUGGGUACGGCUACGGUGGCGCGGCCAGAGCGUGUCCCGUCCCGGCAGCAGGCAACUUCUAUCUGUCGCCGUCCGACGACGUCCAGGACAACUUCCUGAUCCACUCCUCCUCCUCCUCCUCGGUGGCGCCGUCUGGCAACAGCAGCAGCCACGACGCGCCGAGGGAAGCCAAGAAGGAAGCAGACGUCGCCACGGUCACCGUCGCGUCGACGUCGUCUCUGUCGCAAGCGGCGAACGCCCCCUUCCAUCUUCAGCUCCCGGCCGUGAACCCACCCUAUGGCCUCCAGCUACCGGCAGCGAACCAUGGGAUGACGAACAUGUCCAGCCUGCAGCUACCGGCGGCGAGCCAGGGUGUUCUGGACCUGCCCAGCCUGCAACUACCGGCGGCGAGCGGCCACGGAGUGUUCGACUGGCUAAAUGACCCGUUCCUGACGCAGUUGCGCAGCCCGUGGCAGGACCAGCAUUGCAUGUCCCCUUACGCCCAUCUGCUAUACUAG
RNAcentral lists this ribosomal RNA (1059 nucleotides) under Triticum aestivum (bread wheat). RNAcentral describes it as "partial small subunit ribosomal RNA". The record is from RNAcentral. Lineage: Eukaryota; Viridiplantae; Streptophyta; Magnoliopsida; Poales; Poaceae.